This 253-nucleotide unclassified non-coding RNA is filed under the name uncultured Bacteroidia bacterium. RNAcentral describes it as "contains 16S-23S intergenic spacer region". It matches the Rfam family "Bacterial small subunit ribosomal RNA", at positions 524 to 776 of the family's 1533-position model. The record is from RNAcentral. Lineage: Bacteria; Pseudomonadati; Bacteroidota; Bacteroidia.
UACGGAGGGUGCAAGCGUUAUCCGGAUUUACUGGGUUUAAAGGGUGCGUAGGCGGAUUUGUAAGUCAGUGGUGAAACUCUUGAGCUUAACUCGAGAACUGCCAUUGAUACUGCUAAUCUUGAGUACAGUUGAGGUGGGCGGAAUGUGUCAUGUAGCGGUGAAAUGCUUAGAUAUGACACAGAACACCAAUUGCGAAGGCAGCUCGCUAAACUGUAACUGACGCUGAGGCACGAAAGCGUGGGGAGCGAACAGG